CUACGGGGCGCUGCAGUGGGGAAUAUUGCACAAUGGAGGAAACUCUGAUGCAGCAACGCCGCGUGGAGGAUGACACUUUUCGGAGCGUAAACUCCUUUUAUAUAGGAAGAAGAUGACGGUACUAUAUGAAUAAGCGCCGGCUAACUCCGUGCCAGCAGCCGCGGUAAUACGGGAGGGCGCAAGCGUUACUCGGAAUCACUGGGCGUAAAGAGCGUGUAGGCGGAUUAAAAGGUCAGAAGUGAAAUCCUAUAGCUUAACUAUAGAACUGCUUCUGAAACUCUUAAUCUAGAAUAUGGGAGAGGUAGAUGGAAUUUCUGGUGUAGGGGUAAAAUCCGUAGAGAUCAGAAGGAAUACCGUUUGCGAAGGCGAUUUACUAGAACAUUAUUGACGCUGAGACGCGAAAGCGUGGGGAGCAAACAGGAUUAGAUACCCUUGUAGUC
This 440-nucleotide ribosomal RNA is filed under the name uncultured bacterium. RNAcentral describes it as "partial 16S ribosomal RNA". It matches the Rfam family "Bacterial small subunit ribosomal RNA", at positions 339 to 795 of the family's 1533-position model. The record is from RNAcentral.